This 69-nucleotide transfer RNA is filed under the name Heterocephalus glaber (naked mole-rat). It matches the Rfam family "tRNA". From Rfam's summary of the family: Transfer RNA (tRNA) molecules are approximately 80 nucleotides in length. Lineage: Eukaryota; Metazoa; Chordata; Mammalia; Rodentia; Bathyergidae. The record is from Rfam by way of RNAcentral.
GAGGAUAUAGCUUGGUGAUAGAGCACUUGCCUAGCACGCAAGGCCCUAGGUUCAAACCUAGUACUUGCA